CCCACUAAGAGUCACCUUAUCAACAUAAACUCAGAUUGUCCUUAAAAUAAACAGCAAAUAGCAACAAUCUGGAAGUGAAACAACCUAUGGUUUUAUUCAUAAACAUUUUUCAGUUGUUAUCAAAGACAAAGCAUUAAGGAGACUUUUGUUUUUCCUCAAGCACAACCAAGAACCACACUGAGUUAAAGAAAAGUUGCACUGGACAGGUUAAACUGACAAGAAAGACUAUUGCAAUAAGAAUCAAGACUACUACAAUUGGUUAGAGAUUGGACUCUAGUCCUCGAACACAAAAGCAAAAGAGUUUUGAAGCACUGGAGUGAACUAGCAGAAUUGUACUGGAGGAUGAAGACUUUAAGGGGAAAAUUUGUCAAUGUGAUUACGCUAUUGGUUUUUGCUAAUUGAUGAUUAUAAAAGUUAGGCCCCUACCCUUCCACAGAGACUAGGAGGCAGGCGCCCUAGCUUUCUAGAUGGUUCUGCUUCAAAGGGAAUACUCUCAGGUCCUUGAGAAAGACAUUACUGGGAGUAAAAUUGUCAAGAAACUGGAAGACGAUUUACAUCUCAAAGCGGCAGAGAAGAAACUUACAAUUGCAAGUUUUUCAACAUAAAUGCUCUAAGAAAAGUUAUAUCAGGGGCCAAUCAGAAGACCGUCUAAGGUUUAGUCAAACUGAAGUUAAGGGUGUCUUGGUCACUACAUCUAAGCACAUCAGAUAAUUAGAUCCCCCCUUUUUUUCUGAACACAUCUUUUCUGAAACUCUCUCUUCCCCUCUUUAAUCUGGACUAGUUGCUCUCUAGGCCUGAUGCACAGCUGUCAGCCUGGGACUUUCUUUGUUUCUCUUCCCUUAUCUGGAGACACUAAUUUAGCAGAAUACAUAGAUUUAGAAGAAUACAUUCUUCAUUAACAC
This is a long non-coding RNA of Symphalangus syndactylus (siamang), 902 nucleotides long. RefSeq lists it as uncharacterized. The record is from RefSeq and is a predicted model, not a curated record. Lineage: Eukaryota; Metazoa; Chordata; Mammalia; Primates; Hylobatidae.